AGCGGUUAUGGAUGGGGAUGCGUCUGAUUAGCUUGUUGGCGGGGUAACGGCCCACCAAGGCUACGAUCAGUAGGGGUUCUGAGAGGAAGGUCCCCACAUUGGAACUGAGACACGGUCCAAACUCCUACGGGAGGCAGCAGUGAGGAAUAUUGGUCAAUGGGCGAGAGCCUGAACCAGCCAAGUAGCGUGCAGGACGACGGCCCUAUGGGUUGUAAACUGCUUUUAUGUGGGGGAUAAAGUGCGUGACGUGUCAUGCAUUGCAGGUACCACAUGAAUAAGGACCGGCUAAUUCCGUGCCAGCAGCCGCGGUAAAU
Molecule: ribosomal RNA, 314 nt
Filed under: uncultured Prevotella sp.
Lineage: Bacteria; Pseudomonadati; Bacteroidota; Bacteroidia; Bacteroidales; Prevotellaceae
Description: bacterial SSU rRNA
Rfam family: Bacterial small subunit ribosomal RNA
Source: RNAcentral